Molecule: microRNA, 18 nt
Filed under: Macrophomina phaseolina MS6
Lineage: Eukaryota; Fungi; Ascomycota; Dothideomycetes; Botryosphaeriales; Botryosphaeriaceae
Description: miR-2981
Source: RNAcentral
CCGGAGCGGGCGGGCGGG